Molecule: long non-coding RNA, 544 nt
Filed under: Equus caballus (horse)
Lineage: Eukaryota; Metazoa; Chordata; Mammalia; Perissodactyla; Equidae
Description: lncRNA (ENSECAG00000044335.1)
Source: RNAcentral
CUAGUUCAUGAAUACAAGUCUAGGAUACAAUCAGAAGUAAGUUCAAGGACAACGAUGGCAGCAAAGGAAUAUAAAAGACAUAAACUCACAAGGAUGAACAGGAGGGGAGAUGACAGCAGACAAGAGAUGUCAACAAGUUGAGAAAGGAGGAGAGAGGACAGAUGAGAGGUACCCGUGACUUCGCAGAGGGCACCAGAAGUUAACAUUAAAUGACAAAGGAUAUGAGGCCUAUAGAAAUCCUAAAAGCUGAGAACAUAGUGAAGACUUCGGAGAGCCAAGACAAAAUCUGAAGAAAUUAUGAGUUUCAAAGCUGGAAACGUUUGGGUUGAUGCAUUGGAGGCCCAUAAAAGAACAUCACAGUCUGUUGCAUUCCUGUGAAGGCAAGGCAGCCCUUUAUUCAGCCCCAAAGCCUACGACUUCCUGUGACUCUGCUUCCGCCAGCCAUGGUUGAUUGGAUCAGGGCAAGCACCUGAUGCAGACGCACUCCUCACAGGAUGACCCGAGACCCAUGAGCCGGGAGUCAAAUGCAGGUGCACCAAAUUCC